This is a long non-coding RNA of Equus asinus (donkey), 1920 nucleotides long. The record is from Ensembl. NCBI's taxonomy places the organism in Eukaryota, Metazoa, Chordata, Mammalia, Perissodactyla, Equidae.
AACAGUCAAUGAAAUUUAUUGAACUGGACCAUUUACUGAAACCAUUGAAAACAAGGGAAUGACAACAUAGAGAGGAACUUCUAACAGCCACUACAGUCCGCAGGUCUUGAAGUCAUCCUCGUCCGAGGUCCCUAAUGAGAUGCCUCAGCUGUUCCCCAUGCUGUGGCCCUCCCACCAUAGUCUCCCUUCCUGUGGACCCCACAGUCAACCUCUUGCCAGGACGAUGGACAAUGGUGAUGUCUUCUCACUCCAGGGCACCCUUCCGCUUCUGGCUGACAGGCUGGGUGGGGCCCUGCACUAUGGCCCACACAGGACAGUCACAGGAUGCUGGAGAAAACAGCAGGAGACACCCAACCAAGCCAAAGAAACUGAGCCACAAGUAACAGCAGGAACAAGCAGCGAUUGGCCUAAAUCUACACCGAGAAGGCAGAGUUGAGCUCACAGCACUGGACAAGAGUGAGCAGAGCCUGGGCUGGCACUGAAGCUCACAGCAUGUGCCAGGGCUGAGAGGGGGCUGCCCACUAGGACAGGACACCCAAUCUGGGAUCAUGCACAGCCCAAGGCUCUGCAAAGAAAUCAUGGCGUGUGUGUGUGUGCAUGCGCAUGUGCGUUGGGGGUGGAUUACUUGACACGUGGGUCACUACGGGGUCUACAGAGACACAAGUGGGCUUCCCAGAACAGGGAACAGCUUGCUGCAUCCAGGUGACAGUGAAUGGGGGUCCCCCUCACGGGAGGCCCCAGCGGCUGGCACCCUUGAGAUGACCCCUGAUCCUGACAUAUCCCAGGCCCGUGCAGGUGGCAGACAUCCUCAGGUGCCCCUCACUGAGGCUGGGGCUGCCACUUGGGAGAGCUGCCAGGCUGGCUGCCUGAGUUGGCAGGGCUGGGGCUCGGGCUCAGUGUGGUGCUGCCUUGGGCGGGGGUGCACCUCUCCCCUACCCAUUUGGGGUAACACAUGGUCAUCUUGGUCACUUGGAAGGGCUGAUGGUGGGGCAUAGAGCCGCUUGGGGAUCGUGGGGGGGCCGGGGGCUUGCUUUGGGCUGAGUAGACCCCUCCCUGGGCCUGGUCCCCAUGUGGGGUGAGGCGGCUGCCCUGGCCUCGCCUCCCCCUGCCUCCAGGGCUCUGCUGCCUGGGAGGAGGGAGGGCCCCUGGGCCUUUUGAGCCUACUUGCCCGAGGAGGACUCGGGGUGGCUCAUCUCCUCAGCCCCGUCCUCGUCUCCUGGCUCCUCCUGGAUGAGCCCCUCCUUGGGGGUCUGCUCGGCCUCCUGGUCUCCUGCCUGAGCCAGGCCUUCUAGGUCACUGCCAGGACCUCCUGGGCCCCCCCCGGAAGUACGGCCCAUCUGGGCAGGGGUGGGGUCCCCGGGGGCCUCUGAAGGUCCUGCCUGACCUAGCCCCGUAGGAGUAGGAGCAUUUUCAACUUCCCCAGUGGAAGGGGAGGCCUUGGUGGUCGCCUGAGGGGCAGGGGCCGCCCUGGCAGCAUCAUGGGUGUCAGGAGCUGCCUCAUCGGCCUCCUCACGUGCUGGGGCGGCCUCAGAGGUGUCUUGCUUGGAAAGGGCAGCCAGGGUGGUAUCUUCCUUGGGUGGGGAGGCCUUGCUUUCUUCUGCAGUGACGGGGGUGCCCUCAGUGGUGACCUCACUGGCUGGUGCGGCCUGGGCGGAAUCUUCACGGGCCGGUGCAGCAUCUUCAUGGGCCAGGGCACCCUGGCAGGUGGCUAGGUCUCCAACGUCCAGCUGGGCCCCUUCUUCCAUGUGGAACUGCUCACUUCUAGCCGGAGCGCCCUCCCACGCCUCCGUCUCCCGAAUGAGCUGCAGCAUCCCCAGAAAGUCAGGCGGCCUCCUCUCCAGACGCAUCCUCCUCAGCUUGUUCUCGAGCGUCUCAUUGGGCCGGGCCCGCAUCAGCACCUGCCUGGCGCGCAGCUGGUCU